RNAcentral lists this unclassified non-coding RNA (766 nucleotides) under Leishmania donovani. Its description in RNAcentral is "gene:unknown". Lineage: Eukaryota; Euglenozoa; Kinetoplastea; Trypanosomatida; Trypanosomatidae. The record is from RNAcentral.
CGCGACCACAGUUGUUAUGACCUGGCAUGAUGCGCGUGCACUGCCUGUUUUCCGUGACGGAGUGGUGUGGUGAGCGUCGAAAGCCUCUAAAGAAGGGAACCGACUUGCAGAAUAGCAUGGUUUACGAACAGCGAUCACAAGCUCAUGGCUGCGCAUAAAGUCUGCUAGCGCUGUUUGUGUGUGACCUGGUUCAUAACUUCGGCAGAACGUGGAACCCAGAAUUCGCCAUCACGAAAGGGAACGGCAGACACUUCCAGCUGAUGAGACCUGAGCGACGCCAGGCGAGCUUGGCUCUGCAGAAAACCGCGUAUAGCCAAUGUGAGAUGCGGCUGUUUUGAAGGUUGCCCUCGAUGCGGCAACAGGGCCCGCACUCAAAAUGUGGAGCCACUGGCAAUCAAACCACGUGAGUUUGUGAAUAGCUCUCUCGCAGCAGAGCCUUUUGUUUCCCUACCCCCCCCCAUCUCUUUCACUCCGCCCUGUUGUGAUCUCAGGCCGCUCGAAGAUCACCAAGGAGGCAGAGUCCGCAAGGGAAGCAGCCUUAUCAGCGCCGUGCUUGUUGUUCUCAGCUUGUAUUGGGAGUGGCUCCACUUUCCGUUGUGAAGAAAGUGUUGCGUACCGUUCGCUUCCUGGAAACAUCCGUGGAUCGAAUUUCUGCUCGCGGACAGAGUUGAAAAGAGCGCAGCCUCUUUCGGCUCGCUUUUCACGUCUGACACAAAGAGUGCCGCUUCUCUGGAAUUGUCGUGUGCGCUUGUACCGAAAUUGAAUG